RNAcentral lists this ribosomal RNA (1345 nucleotides) under uncultured bacterium. RNAcentral describes it as "bacterial SSU rRNA". It matches the Rfam family "Bacterial small subunit ribosomal RNA", at positions 28 to 1381 of the family's 1533-position model. The record is from RNAcentral.
GACGAACGCUGGCGGCGUGCUUAACACAUGCAAGUCGAACGAUGAAGCGGUGCUUGCACCGUGGAUUAGUGGCGAACGGGUGAGUAAUACGUGAGUGACCUACCUUUGACUCUGGGAUAAGCCUGGGAAACUGGGUCUAAUACCGGAUACGACCAAUCUCUGCAUGGGGUGUUGGUGGAAAGCGUUAUGGAGUGGUUUUAGAUGGGCUCACGGCCUAUCAGCUUGUUGGUGAGGUAAUGGCUUACCAAGGCGACGACGGGUAGCCGGCCUGAGAGAGUGACCGGCCACACUGGGACUGAGACACGGCCCAGACUCCCACGGGAGGCAGCAGUGGGGAAUAUUGCACAAUGGGCGCAAGCCUGAUGCAGCGACGCCGCGUGAGGGAUGACGGCCUUCGGGUUGUAAACCUCUGUUAGCAUCGAAGAAGCGAAAGUGACGGUAGGUGCAGAGAAAGCGCCGGCCAACUACGUGCCAGCAGCCGCGGUAAUACGUAGGGCGCGAGCGUUGUCCGGAAUUAUUGGGCGUAAAGAGCUUGUAGGCGGUUGGUCGCGUCUGCUGUGAAAGGCCGGGGCUUAACUCCGGUUUUGCAGUGGGUACGGGCUAACUAGAGUGCAGUAGGGGAGACUGGAAUUCCUGGUGUAGCGGUGGAAUGCACAGAUAUCAGGAGGAACACCGAUGGCGAAGGCAGGUCUCUGGGCUGUAACUGACGCUGAGAAGCGAAAGCAUGGGGAGCGAACAGGAUUAGAUACCCUGGUAGUCCAUGCCGUAAACGUUGGGCACUAGGUGUGGGGGACAUUCCACGUUUUCCGCGCCGUAGCUAACGCAUUAAGUGCCCCGCCUGGGGAGUACGGCCGCAAGGCUAAACUCAAAGGAAUUGACGGGGGCCCGCACAAGCGGCGGAGCAUGCGGAUUAAUUCGAUGCAACGCGAAGAACCUUACCAAGGCUUGACAUGCAUUAGAUCGCGUCAGAGAUGGCGUUUCCCUUCGGGGCUGGUGUACAGGUGGUGCAUGGUUGUCGUCAGCUCGUGUCGUGAGAUGUUGGGUUAAGUCCCGCAACGAGCGCAACCCUCGUUCUAUGUUGCCAGCGGUUCGGCCGGGGACUCAUAGGAGACUGCCGGGGUCAACUCGGAGGAAGGUGGGGAUGACGUCAAAUCAUCAUGCCCCUUAUGUCUUGGGCUUCACGCAUGCUACAAUGGCCGGUACAGAGGGUUGCGAUACUGUGAGGUGGAGCUAAUCCCUUAAAGCCGGUCUCAGUUCGGAUUGGGGUCUGCAACUCGACCCCAUGAAGUCGGAGUCGCUAGUAAUCGCAGAUCAGCAACGCUGCGGUGAAUACGUUCCCGGGCCU